AACUAACAAGGAUUCCCCUAGUAACUGCGAGUGAAGCGGGAAAAGCUCAAAUUUAAAAUCUGGUGGUCUCUGGCCAUCCGAGUUGUAAUCUAGAGAAGUGUUAUCCGCGCUGGACCGUGUACAAGUCUCCUGGAAUGGAGCGUCAUAGAGGGUGAGAAUCCCGUCUUUGAUACGGACUGCCAGGGCUUUGUGAUGCGCUCUCAAAGAGUCGAGUUGUUUGGGAAUGCAGCUCAAAAUGGGUGGUAAAUUCCAUCUAAAGCUAAAUAUUGGCGAGAGACCGAUAGCGAACAAGUACCGUGAGGGAAAGAUGAAAAGAACUUUGGAAAGAGAGUUAAACAGUACGUGAAAUUGCUGAAAGGGAAACGCUUGAAGUCAGUCGCGUUGUCUGGGACUCAACCUUGCUUUUGCUGGGCGUACUUUCCAGAUGACGGGUCAGCAUCAAUUUUGACCGUUGGAUAAAGUCUAGAGGAAUGUGGCAUCUUCGGAUGUGUUAUAGCCUUUGGUCGCAUACAACGGUUGGGAUUGAGGAACUCAGCACGCCGCAAGGCCGGGUACUUGUACCACGUUCGUGCUUAGGAUGCUGGCAUAAUGGCUUUAAUCGACCCGUCUUGAAACACGGACCAAGGAGUCUAACAUGCCUGCGAGUAUUUGGGUGGAAAACCCGAGUGCGUAAUGAAAGUGAAAGUUGAGAUCCUUGUCAUGGGGAGCAUCGACGCCCGGACCAGACCUUUUGUGACGGAUCUGCGGUAGAGCAUGUAUGUUGGGACCCGAAAGAUGGUGAACUAUGCCUGAAUAGGGUGAAGCCAGAGGAAACUCUGGUGGAGGCUCGUAGCGAUUCUGACGUGCAAAUCGAUCGUCAAAUUUGGGUAUAGGGGCGAAAGACUAAUCGAACCAUCUAGUAGCUGGUC
This 908-nucleotide ribosomal RNA is filed under the name Pholiota jahnii. Its description in RNAcentral is "partial large subunit ribosomal RNA". It matches the Rfam family "Eukaryotic large subunit ribosomal RNA", at positions 63 to 956 of the family's 3401-position model. Lineage: Eukaryota; Fungi; Basidiomycota; Agaricomycetes; Agaricales; Strophariaceae. The record is from RNAcentral.